RNAcentral lists this long non-coding RNA (3326 nucleotides) under Helianthus annuus (common sunflower). Its description in RNAcentral is "hypothetical non coding rna". The record is from RNAcentral. Lineage: Eukaryota; Viridiplantae; Streptophyta; Magnoliopsida; Asterales; Asteraceae.
GUUUUGAUACUCUUUUACUCUCAAGUUAAUGUUUUCCUCACUUUUGCACCUAAACAAUUAACACAAUGUAGAGGUACCAGUAUAAUAUGUCAUAUAUUAAGUAUUAACUAAGUUAUAUGUGAUUCAAAAUCAAGAUAUGUCUUAUAAUUUUAUCGUAGAUAGUAAUACUAUAUUUGUUGGAAUACAAUAAAUAGUUAAUAUAUAUAUCUUAUAUUAAAGGGGUGCUGUGGUGUUCCAAUAGUGAUUACACAAAACUUAUGUUAUUGAAAUUUUUAUGUCUUUCUAAUUGCGUGCUCUGCUUUUUAUGUCUGCUCGACAGAAAACUAUAUAUAGCAUUGACUACUACAAAACUCUAAUUCUCAGCAAGAUUAACAAUGAACUCAAAAUCCAUUGGUGAUGAGUUGAAUUUUACUCUAAACCGGAUUCCAACAAUCUUAAUGGAGGGGUCUAUAAACCAUUAAUAUUGACAGAACCGCCUAAACCUAAGCAAAUCGACCGGUUUGAGAUUUAUACAAUUCGGUUCACAGUUUGAAACUUAGAACCGUUUAGGCCGGUCUCGUUUCCCCAUUUUCUGAAACACUAGUUAGUGGUUCGGCCGAUAUUUACUGUGACUGUGAGCAACUCUAAACCUUAACCUCAACAAAUCGAACGCAAACCUAAAAUGAUGAAAUUAUAAUUUUCGGUAUUCAAGUAGUAGGUAAGAGCAUAAAUAAAAGACGUGUGAUAUUGUAACAUCAUUUUGGUUUGCUAUAAGUUAUAACUCUUGUACUUAAACAAACAUAAAAUAAAACCUGCAGCUAGCACGAAUUUCACUAACCUCCUUUCUCCACAUUCAUAAGUCUGCAGACUAUUAUUUCUACACUAAUAUGUAUAAAAUUCUUAUGUUAUUACAUUUUUUCACAUUACGAGUGUUAAGAAGCUAGCAAAAAUUUACACAUUGCAUUGAGUAGGAAAACAAAACAAUGUAUAAAUUAAAUAUUGUGUAGUGCCAAUAGGGUUCACCCUUUCAUGUUUGCUACUUAAAACUUAUACAGUUACUACAAGCCUAUUAUCUAGUUAUCUACUACCCAAUUUUGAAAAGGAUCAUACCUGGUGUGCUAGAUUAUGUAUCACAACGAUACUUCUAGCAUCCUUAUAAACUCCAUGGGGACGAUACUUUGCUGCCAAUAGCCUAAAAACAUAAAUCAGAGGUCAGACUGCAGGUAUUACAAAAUGGGCAGUAAAAACUGUCAAUUUAUUUUAUAUUUAAUUUUGCACGAUAGGAAAAAAAAAUGGUUAAGUUAGUGGCAUACACUGGAACAAGACCGGUGUGCCAGUCAUUGACAAGGAACAAACAUUUUUCACCAUAUGUGAACCCUCCCAAAGGAAGCACUAAAGGAGCCUCACAUGCUGCAUGAGAAAGUAAGUUUUGCCCGAAAAUAUCAACUCAUUCCUAGCUCUCCAUAACCUCCAGCAGGCGAUAAUCACUAUACCUUGGUACACUUCUUUCUCCUUCCCCUUCAAACCGCAGUGGUUAUGAUUCUCCAAGAUGUCUCGAAACGAGAAAGCGUAAAGAAAAGAAGUUCUACACCACAUGCUAAUCUUCUGCCAAAGUACCAUAGCCAAACAGCAUGCUGUAAAAAUGUGUGUUAUGUCUCCGUCUCCGUGCCGCAGAGAGGGCACAGAUCAUCCACGACAGGAAUGACUCUCUUCCGUAGCCACCUUUGAUUCAACCAAUCACACUUCUUUUUUUUUUGGUUUUGUUUUUUAUUUUUUUACUUCAGCAACACCAACUUAGUUAGACUAUGGGGUAUGGGGCGGGGGUUGGGUACAAACGCCCAAGUCACCACCCCGGGUGGGCUUGGGUUUCGGCGUGGCCCCUUGGGCGGGGGUUUCAGCCCAGGCGUUGGGCGGGCCUAGCGGUCUUCCUUGGCCGGCUCUCAUUGGCUGGGUUGGCUAGGCUAUAGGUGUCUAGGAUUUAAAUUUAAAAAACAACUGUUUGGCCAAGCCAAACCCAUACCCCAACUACUAUAACACGUGGCCAACCCACGCGGGCUAGCCACGCCCCGCCAUACCGACCCAACAUGCAACUGACCAGCGGUGCCCUUCGAAGUCCACGUGUCAACCCAUGCCCCAAACCCCCGCCCACCAUACCCACGGUCUUAAAUGAUGGGCUAGUUAAAGCCACACUCAUACGUGGCAACGACCUACCUGGCGCUUUAACUAGUCCAUGCUAGUAGUUGAACCCCACCAUGCAGCCUAAGGUCCAAUAAAAUAUAACAAUCAUUUCUAAAAUCAUCCAUUAGUUACUUCAUUCUCUCUCCUUAUUAAAAGCAGUGUAAUUAUCUAUCUUAAAUUCCCCCAAAGUAUGUGAUAUUUUGGCUCAUAUCAAUUUCGACAAAUUUCAUACAUGAAAAUUAAGAAGUGAUAAAAAUGCUAUUAAUCAACUAAAAUAAUACACGUCGUACCCUUCUAAAUCACUUUAAGAGAAACGUGCAAUACAAUGAAAGGUAUAAUAGGUUUUUUAAAUACAAUUUUAUAUUAGUUAUUUUAAAUUACUCCAGUUGUACACACAAUUAAUUAAAUAGUUCUUUUAACUGCUAAACUUGCACACCUUCAAUCUAACCUAAUUACGAAAUUUCACUUAAACUGCCACAAAUUCAACAUCAAAUGAUCAAUCUCCAAACACAUUUCCAUAUGAAUAACAAAACCGAUACGAAUCAUAAUCUCAAAACAUAUCAUUCAAUGAACAGAACUGCAUUACACAUUCGAUUAUUCAAACACGAACAAAAAUUAUAAAAUCAAACUACUAAAACUCGUUACCUGAUUGCGGAAUCAAAUGAAAACCUACAAUCGAUCCAGAUUCAUCCUUCUCAGCGCCUAACAACACGCUAUCCUUCCGUACAUCUUCAACAGAAGAUCCGUCGUGUGAGCUUUUGCUAACCGCUCGCAAUUUCACACUACACGUCCUCUGUUUCCUAACUGCAACCGAUCGAGUGAGAAAAUGCUUAUCAACGGCGGAUUUCACCGGCGAUUUGGCGGUGAAAACAGGGCGUGAUUGGAGCAGAGUCUCCAUUGGAGACGAUAGAGGUGAUUGAGGACGUAAAGGAUCGUGAAUUGGAAGGUGAAAUGGAAGAUUGUGGAAGUGUGUGAGAGAGAAAGUGUGGUAGUGUGUGUGAGGGUUUUUGUUGGUUGAGGAUCUACUAUGAUAGAAAUCCGAAAAUAGAUAUUGCGGUUAUAAGUUUGAAUAUUAUUUUGGGGACCUCAUUGAAGAUGUCAAUAUCAUGUGACAAGUGAGAAGUUACUAUUUACAACAAAGUUGUUUUUCUAAUUUCACCAAGCGAUUC